AGUGAACGCUGGCGGUAGGCCUAACACAUGCAAGUCGAACGGCAGCACAGUAAGAGCUUGCUCUUACGGGUGGCGAGUGGCGGAUGGGUGAGGAAUACAUAGGCAUCUACUUUUUCGUGGGGGAUAACGUAGGGAAACAUACGCUAAUACUGCAUACGACCUACGGGUGAAAGCAGGGGAUCUUCGGACUUUGCGCGAUUGAAUUAGCCGAUGUCGGAUUAGCUAGUUGGCGGGGUAAAGGCCCACCAAGGCAACGAUGCGUAGCUGGUCUGAGAGGAUGAUCAGCCACACUGGAACUGAGACACGGUCCAGACUCCUACGGGAGGCAGCAGUGGGGAAUAUUGGACGAUGGGCGCAAGCCUGAUCCAGCCAUACCGCGUGGGUGAAGAAGGCCUUCGGGUUGUAAAACCCUUUUGUUGGGGAAGAAAAGCAGCAGAAUAAAACCCGGCUGUUCUGACGGUACCCAAAGAAUAAGCACCGGCUAACUUCGUG
This 492-nucleotide ribosomal RNA is filed under the name uncultured bacterium. RNAcentral's name for it is "partial 16S ribosomal RNA". It matches the Rfam family "Bacterial small subunit ribosomal RNA", at positions 29 to 507 of the family's 1533-position model. The record is from RNAcentral.